RNAcentral lists this ribosomal RNA (638 nucleotides) under uncultured bacterium. RNAcentral's name for it is "bacterial SSU rRNA". It matches the Rfam family "Bacterial small subunit ribosomal RNA", at positions 92 to 748 of the family's 1533-position model. The record is from RNAcentral.
CGAGUGGCGGACGGGUGAGUAACGCGUGGGUAACCUGCCUCAUACAGGGGGAUAACGAUUGGAAACGAUUGCUAAUACCGCAUAAGCGCACAGUACCACAUGGUGCAGUGUGAAAAACUCCGGUGGUAUGAGAUGGACCCGCGUCUGAUUAGCUAGUUGGUGAGGUAACGGCCCACCAAGGCAACGAUCAGUAGCCGACCUGAGAGGGUGACCGGCCACAUUGGGACUGAGACACGGCCCAGACUCCUACGGGAGGCAGCAGUGGGGGAUAUUGCACAAUGGAGGAAACUCUGAUGCAGCGACGCCGCGUGAGUGAAGAAGUAUUUCGGUAUGUAAAGCUCUAUCAGCAGGGAAGAAAAUGACGGUACCUGACUAAGAAGCCCCGGCUAACUACGUGCCAGCAGCCGCGGUAAUACGUAGGGGGCAAGCGUUAUCCGGAUUUACUGGGUGUAAAGGGAGCGUAGACGGCGAUGCAAGUCUGAAGUGAAAUACCCGGGCUCAACCUGGGAACUGCUUUGGAAACUGUAUGGCUAGAGUGCUGGAGAGGUAAGCGGAAUUCCUAGUGUAGCGGUGAAAUGCGUAGAUAUUAGGAAGAACACCAGUGGCGAAGGCGGCUUACUGGACAGUAACUGACGUUC